UGAAAUGCGCAGAGAUAUGGAGGAACACCAGUGGCGAAGGCGACUUUCUGGUCUGUAACUGACGCUGAUGUGCGAAAGCGUGGGGAUCAAACAGGAUUAGAUACCCUGGUAGUCCACGCCGUAAACGAUGAGUGCUAAGUGUUAGGGGGUUUCCGCCCCUUAGUGCUGCAGCUAACGCAUUAAGCACUCCGCCUGGGGAGUACGA
Molecule: ribosomal RNA, 205 nt
Filed under: Staphylococcus aureus
Lineage: Bacteria; Bacillati; Bacillota; Bacilli; Caryophanales; Staphylococcaceae
Description: partial 16S ribosomal RNA
Rfam family: Bacterial small subunit ribosomal RNA
Source: RNAcentral